CCUACGGGUGGCAGCAGUGAGGAAUAUUGGUCAAUGGACGAGAGUCUGAACCAGCCAAGUAGCGUGAAGGAUGACUGCCCUAUGGGUUGUAAACUUCUUUUAUAUGGGAAUAAAAUGUUCCACGUGUGGGAUUUUGUAUGUACCAUAUGAAUAAGGAUCGGCGAACUCCGUGCCAGCAGCCGCGGUAAUACGGAGGAUCCGAGCGUUAUCCGGAUUUAUUGGGUUUAAAGGGAGCGUAGGUGGAUUGUUAAGUCAGUUGUGAAAGUUUGCGGCUCAACCGUAAAAUUGCAGUUGAAACUGGCAGUCUUGAGUACAGUAGAGGUGGGCGGAAGUCGUGGUGUAGCGGUGAAAUGCUUAGAUAUCACGAAGAACUCCGAUUGCGAAGGCAGUUCACUGGACUGCAACUGACACUGAGGCUCGAAAGUGUGGGUAUCAAACAGGAUUAGAUACCCUUGUAGUC
This 460-nucleotide ribosomal RNA is filed under the name uncultured bacterium. RNAcentral's name for it is "partial 16S ribosomal RNA". It matches the Rfam family "Bacterial small subunit ribosomal RNA", at positions 338 to 795 of the family's 1533-position model. The record is from RNAcentral.